UUUUUUUCUGGGUUAAUAUAUUCAGAAGUUGGCCUUUUUUUUUUUUUUUUUUUUGAGACAGAGUUUCGCUCUUGUUGCCUAGGCUGGAGUGCAAUGGCAUGAUCUUUGCUCACUGCAACCUCCACCUCCCAGGUUCAAGCUAUUCUCUUGUCUCAGCCUCCCAAGUAGCUGGGAUUACAGGCAUGUACCACCACACCUGGCUAAUUUUUUGUGUUUUUAGUAGAGAUGGGGUUUCUCCAUGUUGGUCAGGCUGGUCUUGAACUCCCAACCUCAGGUGAUCCACCCGCCUCGGCCUCCCAAAGUGCUGGGAUUACAGGUGUGAGCCACCAUGCCCGGCCAAAGUUGGCCAUUUUAUUUAUUUAGUUUUUCAGAGAAUCAGCUUUUAGGUUUUUAAAUCAUCUGCAUCAUUAUUUCAUUAAUUCUAUUCUUAUUUUUAUUUCUUUCCUCUUACCAUGUUUAGAAUUAAUAUACCAUUUCAUUUCUAGCUUCUAGAGGAUAGUUCCUUGUUUUCUAUGUUUCAUGAUUUUUCAAUAAAUAUAUUUAAAUGGAAUACUAUGCAGCCAUAAAAAAAGAAAAAAAGAAAAAAAAAGUGAAUUUUCUCAUUUAUGUAUAUGAGUAUAUGAGGAAUAUUGGUAUUUAGUUUUCUCUUUUGUAACGUCAUUGUCUGGUCUUGGAAUGAGGGUAAUACAGACCCCACAGCAUGAGGGCAAGUAGUCCCUCCUGUUCAUUUUUCUGGAAGUGGUUGGUUAUUAUUUCUUUCUUAAAUGUUUCCUGGAAUUCACCUGUUAAGCCUUCUGGGACUGGAGUUCUCUUUGUGGGAAAAGUUUUAACUAUAAAUUCAAUUUCUUUAAUACAUAUAGGGCUACAUUGAUUAUCAAUACCUUCUUGAGUAAGUUUGGGGGUUUUAAGGGUUUUCUCCACUUAAUCGAAGUUGCCUAAUUUAUUGGCACAAUUUUUUGGUAAUUUCCUUUAUUGUUUUUUUAAUAUCUGCAAAAUCUGUGGCAUCACCUUCCUUGUUCCUCUGUUUGUCCUGGGUAAUUUGUAUCUUUUCUCUCUUCCUGACCAAUCUAGCAAGAGGCUUAUCAAUUUUGUCACUCUCCUCAAAAAAAAUCUUUAAUUUUGCUAUUUUUUGUUUCCCCUUUUAUUAACUUCUGUUCUAAUCUUUCUUACUUUUUCUUUCUUUUCUGCUUACCUUGAGUUUUCUUUGCUCUUCUUUUUUCUGUUUCUUGAGGCAGAAAAAUCAUUGAGACUUGUCAUCUUUUAUAAUAUAGGUGCUUAGUGCUAUAAAAUUUAAUCUCAGUACUGCUUUAGCUGCAUCUCAUAAAUGUUGAUUUGUUGCAUUUUUAUUUUCAUUCAGUUCAAAAUCUUCCUAGUUUCCCUUCUGAUUUUUUUUUCUUUGAUUCAUGGGAUAUUUAGAAGUGUGCUCUUUCAUUUCCAAAUAUUAUGGGUGUUUCUAUGUAUCAUCUGGUUUGGGUUUACAAUUGAAUUUCUUUAUAAUAAAAGAACGUCAUGUGAUUAAAAUAGUUUCAGAUUUAUUAAGAUUAGUUUUAUGUCCCACCACGUGUACAUGUUCCAUGUGCUCCUGCAAAGAAUGUGAAUUCUGCACUUUUUGAGGAAGUGUUAUAUAGAUGUCAAUUAAAGUGAGUUA
This 1648-nucleotide long non-coding RNA is filed under the name Macaca fascicularis (crab-eating macaque). RNAcentral's name for it is "lncRNA (ENSMFAG00000064085.1)". Lineage: Eukaryota; Metazoa; Chordata; Mammalia; Primates; Cercopithecidae. The record is from RNAcentral.